Molecule: long non-coding RNA, 109 nt
Organism: Etheostoma cragini (Arkansas darter)
Lineage: Eukaryota; Metazoa; Chordata; Actinopteri; Perciformes; Percidae
Exons: 3
Source: RefSeq, a predicted model, not a curated record
AGUUAUUUUAACACUUAUGGGGUGUUCCAAUGGUCCCAGGUCUGGUGGACCCACCACAUUAUAGGGAUUUUAAAUCAAUACAGCCACAACAGUUUAUGUAAAAAAAAUA